CGUGGGGCUUGAACUCAUGAAUUAUGACAUCAUGACCUGAGCUGAAGCUGGGCACCUAACUGCCACCCAGGCUCCCUGUAGGUUGGCACAUUCUAAAAGGAAAUGCUAGACCCCCUAGCUAUGGAGGGCAUGCAAAGCUUCCAAGAUUGAAGCAAGCCUGUCUAGAGGAACGAGAGACAUUUGCAACCGAGUGCCUGCUCGUCCAGCUCACUCCGGGUGCCACGACCUUGUCGCAGCCUAUUCGCAGUCCAGAGAAACUGAAGGAAACUGAUUGCAUUAGCUCAGUCCAGCACCUUACAAUUUUUGCAACUGGUCAAAAGAAAGAGGGCUACCAUGCAGGAUGAUGCUCAGCUGUGGAUAAUAUCAACAACAAUGGGAUGAACAAUUUUGAUGAAUGCAAACUGAAAGAAAAUGCAGCAUAUGAAAUUCACAUUUUGGUAUAUUUUUAUUUGCUGAGUCUUUUCAGCUUUAAUAAACACAUGUCAAGAUAUACCUACUAAAUAUCC
RNAcentral lists this long non-coding RNA (506 nucleotides) under Felis catus (domestic cat). RNAcentral's name for it is "lncRNA (ENSFCAG00000042837.2)". The record is from RNAcentral. Lineage: Eukaryota; Metazoa; Chordata; Mammalia; Carnivora; Felidae.